GUGACUUCAUAUCUAUGAUUUUGGAUAUCCAUUUCAUCUCUUUCAGUGACCAGUGAGCUGGAUUUGAGUUCAAUCUGCAAUUUCUCCUUGCAACGAAGUGACUCUACAAACAGUUUCCCCAAAUUGAGAUCAAUCAGCGUGGAGAUAUAGCACAUUUCUGGAACCUUCUUUUGGGUAAGAAUUUCACCGGUUGUGCUCUUGAGAAUCCAUUCACGAUCAUGCAAUAACCCAGUAGAUGUUAGAGGCCACUGAUCCACACUAAAUCCCGCACAAGACUUUAUUGGAUAGACAGUAAUAGAUGUGAGGAAAUGCCGUGCAGCAGCUUCUGCAAUCCCUUCAAUUGGC
This 345-nucleotide unclassified non-coding RNA is filed under the name Hevea brasiliensis (rubber tree). The record is from RNAcentral. Lineage: Eukaryota; Viridiplantae; Streptophyta; Magnoliopsida; Malpighiales; Euphorbiaceae.